This 427-nucleotide ribosomal RNA is filed under the name uncultured bacterium. RNAcentral describes it as "partial 16S ribosomal RNA". It matches the Rfam family "Bacterial small subunit ribosomal RNA", at positions 355 to 774 of the family's 1533-position model. The record is from RNAcentral.
UGGGGAAUAUUGCACAAUGGGCGCAAGCCUGAUGCAGCCAUGCCGCGUGUAUGAAGAAGGCCUUCGGGUUGUAAAGUACUUUCAGCGAGGAGGAAGGCAUUGUGGUUAAUAACCGCAGUGAUUGACGUUACUCGCAGAAGAAGCACCGGCUAACUCCGUGCCAGCAGCCGCGGUAAUACGGAGGGUGCAAGCGUUAAUCGGAAUUACUGGGCGUAAAGCGCACGCAGGCGGUGUGUCAAGUCGGAUGUGAAAUCCCCGGGCUCAACCUGGGAACUGCAUCCGAAACUGGCAGGCUAGAGUCUUGUAGAGGGGGGUAGAAUUCCAGGUGUAGCGGUGAAAUGCGUAGAGAUCUGGAGGAAUACCGGUGGCGAAGGCGGCCCCCUGGACAAAGACUGACGCUCAGGUGCGAAAGCGUGGGGAGCAAACA